GCAAAAUCCUUGCAGAGCCGUCCCUUCCCUUUAGCUUCUGCAGCUGCCCGAGCUGGAACGUUCAUAGAAAGGGAGAGCUACGAUUGUUACCAAGUCAGAAAAUUGCAAUUAGGGUUUUUAUCUGAAAAUUUUGUUAUCUAUGGCUUCCUUUAUCCUCUCUAACCCUACUAUUUCCUCUCCUUUCCUCCCCCAGAAACUCACUAAUCAUGAGCAAAAUACUAGAAAUUCGACCACACUUUAUAGCCCUAUUUCAAGAAGCACUAGAACCCUUACAAGCGUUAAGUGUGCAGUGGAUGCACCUUAUGAAGGUAAUAUCCCAAAGUUCUCUAGAAUGAAUGUUUGGGAUCCUUAUAAGCGUCUUGGUAUCAGUCCUUAUGCUUCUGAGGAGGAAAUUUGGUCAUCACGGAAUUUUCUCUUAGAACAAUAUGCUGGACAUGAGAGAAGUGAAGAAUCGAUAGAGGCUGCUUUUGAGAAGCUGUUGAUGACCAGCUUUAAAGAAAGGAAGAAAACAAAAAUUAAUUUGAAAACCAGGCUAAAAAAGAAAGUGGAAGAGUCUCCUCCUUGGGUUAAGGCUUUACUCAAUUUUGUGGAACUUCCUCCAGUUGAAGUUAUUUUUAGAAGAUUAUUCCUCUUUGCAUUCAUGGGUGGCUGGAGUAUCAUGAAUUCUGCGGAAGGUGGACCUGCUUUUCAGGUGGCAGUGUCUUUGGCAGCUUGCAUAUAUUUCCUCAAUGAGAAGACAAAGAACUUGGGCAGAGCUUUCAUUAUUGGCCUUGGAUCUCUUGCAGCUGGGUGGGCAUGCGGCUCAAUAUUUGUUCCCGUGAUCCCAACAGUUCUAAUACACCCAACUUGGACACUCGAACUCCUGACUUCAUUGGUAGGAUAUCUUUUCAUGUUUGUGGCAU
RNAcentral lists this unclassified non-coding RNA (902 nucleotides) under Hevea brasiliensis (rubber tree). Lineage: Eukaryota; Viridiplantae; Streptophyta; Magnoliopsida; Malpighiales; Euphorbiaceae. The record is from RNAcentral.